Molecule: long non-coding RNA, 2093 nt
Organism: Anopheles arabiensis
Lineage: Eukaryota; Metazoa; Arthropoda; Insecta; Diptera; Culicidae
Exons: 2
Source: RefSeq, a predicted model, not a curated record
AGGAACAAAAAUGUACUGGAAAUCAAGGGACUGUGCACAAUGUUCAAAUAAGAGAGGUUUUUCAAAUUGGAGAGGUGUCAAAUAAGAGAGGGUUCACUGUAAACAGAUAAAGAAGAGGGUCAGCUUGAACUAGGCAGUGAUCGGAGUCAGGCUCUAAAUGACUCUGACGAAAUGCAAUAGUAAACCCUGUAAAGGAUUCGUUAAAUCUUCGGAUGCAUUCUAGUAAAGGAUCGUUCAUACCGAUUUGCGUACGUCGUCUGGGAAGGAAUAAUGGAGGCCGGAAUAAUACUCGCAACAAACGAAAAAAGGAACACAUAAGUUGAUAAAAGAAAAGGAGAGGGGGAACUUCGACUUCGUGGAGAAGGACAGAGGCAAAGAAAGAGGACUGAGCAUGGCUUCUACGAGCUACAAGAGUCUCAAGCCCGAGGAAGUGGAUUCGAACAUGAUAGCUCCCUCCUUAUCAGGAAGGAUAGACGAUUUUCCGGAGAACGAAACGCGUAAACGCUUUUGCACCCGUUCAAUUCUAAGCAUGGCGGAUUGAGAGGAACCAGACUGCAGUAUAGAGCUUUUAGGCAUAAUGGGUCCGCAAAAUCAGACCUGGUGCGACGGAUAAGACACAGGGCAUCAUAUACCUUGCUAAUUAAUUUGUUAUGGUGCAAAGAAAAUCAGACUUCCUCGUCCAUCCACACACCUUCUCUGACGAUACUCAAGGUAGGCUAACGUUGUUACAUUUAUUAUCGAAACGAAUAGGAUUAGAAGUUCGACAGAAAGAAAUUACGUUGCAUUUUGGGAUAGAUACCCAAAUAAUCAAGAUACCGAAAACGCCACCAAUUUCAUAUACUAAAAAUCCAGUUGCAUCGAACAAAGCCAAAAAACUGUCAGUUUGGUGGGUUAAACCACACAUCUACAGAAGCGGCCAUUUCAAUGUUUGUUAAAGUCAGUUUUUUUAUGCACGGGUAAUUCAUUUACUCAACAUGUAUCACCCCAAAAUGUGUUUAAUUGUGCAAAGGAAGCUAUAAAACUUGUGUGUUUAAGUUCAUUUGUUGUGAAACAUAUUUGUGGAUGCGUGUGUUUGUUUACUUGCAAAUGGACUGUUUCAUUUCGCUGGUCAGUGCACAGUUUAUUUAGUAAUAAUAUUGCCGAAGUUAUGCUGUGAUGUCAGUGAAUGACUUAAAGUAAUCGAUGUGUUAAAAUCAUGUUCAGCAUAUUGAUCCUAGCCCGCACUUGAUCCAUCUUUUUCUCAUCAACAUGUUUGGAAAAAGUGGGCCAAGCGUGGGCAAGGUCAAUACAUCUUAUUAGAACUGACAGCUCCGAUUGUUCUAAAAUUUGGUGGGUUAACGGCUGAAUCGACCACCUCUAACCCGCGUGGGUUUGAGGUGGCUUUACAGUGGGUUAGGCUUGUGGCAACGCUCAUCGGAUGCGAUUUUAUCGGACGAGAUUUAUAUGGGAUUUGACAGAUAACGUCGGACGUGCGAUUUCGUCGUCCGACGUUAUCUGUCAAAUCCCAUUGUCGCCCGGCCUCCGUCGUGCACCGACCAGCCGCGAAGGUGACUGGUCCUGGCGAUGCCGUCGGCUUCCGUGCGACAAAUAUAUGCCCGCUGCUUUCCCGUGCUGUCGAAGCGGAUGGACGAAGCGGACCCGCCGACCACGGUCUUGCACCAAGUGCCUCCCUCCCGCAGCGUCUUCACCGACAGAGAUUCGCGCCUCACGGCUGCCUUCCAGCUAGUUGCCCCAAGCUUGCGGGGGCCUAUGCGGACGGAAGGGGAAUCCUGGGAAUGUCGAACACCUUGGUCUGUUGACACGAGGGAACGAGCCCGGGUAGUUAAGGAGAGGAUGGUGACCACGCCUUCUCGCCAAGUAGUGUCCAGUCAAGAUUGCCUUGGGUAGGGUCUCGAAGGGAGUACAGGGCUUGUGUGGAACGGAUCUACAUACUUUCGGAAUAGUCGGAAGUAAUAAUCUCUUGCACAAAAUUUCUCCUUUUGCUACCAACUAUUUUAUUUUUCUUCCACUGGAGUCGUUUACAAGCAACAUGCUGCUCUAGCGAUUGCCUAGAGCAUUUUCCGCGAAAAUAUAAUUAUAUUUAGUAAAUCCGU